This 357-nucleotide ribosomal RNA is filed under the name Triticum aestivum (bread wheat). RNAcentral describes it as "partial small subunit ribosomal RNA". Lineage: Eukaryota; Viridiplantae; Streptophyta; Magnoliopsida; Poales; Poaceae. The record is from RNAcentral.
AUGCCUGUGCUUAGAGAGGAUGAAAUAAAACGGAAAUAUGUCCGGGGCCAACCUUUGGUCGAGCCAGACAAGGUCAAGAACCUCCCAACGAGAAUGUAUGAAUUGCAUCAAUGGUACAUGAACAUUACCAAGAUUUCCGAUCGAUUGUCCCUCAUGGUGAAUGUCAAGGAGGAGCAUUACUACCAUGAGAAAGCUGUGUCCGUUGAGUAUUCUGAACUGUUUCAGUUAUACAAUCAAGACGCACUCGACAAAUCUAUCGCCAGUUGCUAUUGUCUGAUGAAGAUGUAUGAAAUGAGAAAAGGUGGACGCUAUGGCAUUGGGUUCAUUGACCCAAACACCGUUAAUGAAUACACAUGA